Phyllostomus discolor (pale spear-nosed bat) is the source of this 285-nucleotide long non-coding RNA. RefSeq lists it as uncharacterized. The transcript has 4 exons. The record is from RefSeq and is a predicted model, not a curated record. Lineage: Eukaryota; Metazoa; Chordata; Mammalia; Chiroptera; Phyllostomidae.
CCCCAUCUCAGGUCUCUCCUCAGUGAGAUGGUGGCUGAUUUAAGCCCCCUGCUCAGUGACAGGAACUGUCGAUUACUGAGUGCUCACCAUGUGCUGGGCCGUACUGUGCCCAGCCGUUUACACACGCUAUCUUGACUCAUCCUCCCGCACCCCCAGCAGAUGAAACUAUUCUUAGCCUCAUUUUGUGGAUGAGGAAACCAAGUCUUAGGUUCAGGGAGCUUUCCCAAGGUCACACAGCUGGACACGGGCUGAGCAAGGAGACCGGAGGAGCACACGUCUGAACCC